Molecule: long non-coding RNA, 696 nt
Filed under: Carica papaya (papaya)
Lineage: Eukaryota; Viridiplantae; Streptophyta; Magnoliopsida; Brassicales; Caricaceae
Description: long non-coding RNA (CPAP_LNC009689)
Source: RNAcentral
UUUCUUAUGUAACUCCAUUUUUCAAGGCCAAAGAAGAAAUUGAGUUCAAAUUUAGUAAGACUCACCUUGGUUCGGCUUCAUUGUCUUCCCUACUAAAACCAAAUUGCACGAAGUAAUUUGGAAAACUUUGACACGGUUGGCACGUGUGAAGGCCAGCAAGUUCUUAAAAAAAAUAAAAGAAAAUUAAAAAAAAAAAAUAGAGAGAGAACGGUGCAUGGUCUCGUGUCCGCGGACGGUUCACAAUUAAGCAAGUGGACCUCCUGUGGGCUUCUGUCCUGUAAGCUGCUAAGCUACCGGGGGAGGGGCUCGAUUCGCGUCGAACCAAAACCAGCCACGCCGGAAGACUCGCGAGCACCAUCUCACUCUGCCUGAUUUCCAAAUGGCGGCAAUGGCGUUUUCCUUUACGCCCACACUUCUAUCUUUCAACAGUAUGCUCUUAUCUCUCUCUCUCUCUCUCUCUCUCUCUUGAUUUUUGCAGGGAAGUAUUUAUGUAUGUUUAAUCGUUUUUAUGCUUUUAAUCUGUGGAUGGUUAACUUCUUGGUUUUAUAAUUUAGUUUCUGUUUGGUUGCUGAGAAAACGGGGUGUAAGAGAACAAGAGUGUAAUUGGAUACGGAUAAUGAGUAUCCGGCUUCGACAAUAUGAAAUACCGAUUUCAGUUAGUUUAAGUAAUCGAGCUAGAGUUAAUCGGAUUAUUAU